Molecule: ribosomal RNA, 364 nt
Filed under: uncultured bacterium
Lineage: Bacteria
Description: bacterial SSU rRNA
Rfam family: Bacterial small subunit ribosomal RNA
Source: RNAcentral
GGAGGAUCCAAGCGUUAUCCGGAAUCAUUGGGUUUAAAGGGUCCGUAGGCGGUCUUAUAAGUCAGUGGUGAAAUCUCCCCGCUCAACGGGGAAACGGCCAUUGAUACUGUAAGACUUGAAUUAUUAGGAAGUAACUAGAAUAUGUAGUGUAGCGGCGAAAUGCUUAGAGAUUACAUGGAAUACCAAUUGCGAAGGCAGGUUACUACUAAUGGAUUGACGCUGAUGGACGAAAGCGUGGGUAGCGAACAGGAUUGAUACCCUGGUAGUCCACGCCGUAAACGAUGGAUACUAGCUGUUGGGCGCAAGUUCAGUGGCUAAGCGAAAGUGAUAAGUAUCCCACCUGGGGAGUACGUUCGCAAGAAUG